RNAcentral lists this ribosomal RNA (491 nucleotides) under uncultured bacterium. RNAcentral describes it as "bacterial SSU rRNA". It matches the Rfam family "Bacterial small subunit ribosomal RNA", at positions 28 to 524 of the family's 1533-position model. The record is from RNAcentral.
GACGAACGCUGGCGGCGUGCUUAACACAUGCAAGUCGAGCGGUAAGGCCCUUUCGGGGGUACACGAGCGGCGAACGGGUGAGUAACACGUGGGUGACCUGCCCUCAGCUCUGGGAUAAGCCUGGGAAACCGGGUCUAAUACUGGAUAUGACUCCAUGACGCAUGUUGUGGGGUGGAAAGCCUUGUGCGGCUGAGGAUGGGCCCGCGGCCUAUCAGCUUGUUGGUGGGGUGANGGCCUACCAAGGCGACGACGGGUAGCCGGCCUGAGAGGGCGACCGGCCACACUGGGACUGAGACACGGCCCAGACUCCUAUGGGAGGCAGCAGUAAGGAAUAUUGCGCAAUGGGCGAAAGCCUGACGCAGCGACGCCGCGUGGGGAUGAAGGUCUUCGGAUUGUAAACCCCUUUCGGGAGGGAAGAUGGAACGAGCAAUCGUUCGGACGGUACCUCCAGAAGCAGCCACGGCUAACUUCGUGCCAGCAGCCGCCGUAAC